This 418-nucleotide long non-coding RNA is filed under the name Homo sapiens (human). Its description in RNAcentral is "non-protein coding lnc-IFT46-1:8". The record is from RNAcentral. Lineage: Eukaryota; Metazoa; Chordata; Mammalia; Primates; Hominidae.
UACAGAAAAGACCCCGGCCAUGGAUGGGAGACCUAGGACAAAGAUGGAAAAGAGGUCAGACACAAAUUUUGCAAGUAAGGUUAAGUGCGUGAAUACAUGAAUAAGUUCUCCUGGUCUGUUAGUUCCCCAGGAGGGACAUAUACUUGAGAAAAUAAAAAUUUGGACCCACUUGAUUUGGCCAUCUAACACAUGGCCAAAGAUGAAAGUUAUUUCCAUUCUGUGACCCGCUGGAAGCAGUAAUAUUUUAAUGCUUAUUAUGUUAAAGUCCUUGUUCAACACAAGGAGGUGCAGGAUCCCAGGAUAUGAGGGUCAAUAAAUAGUGUCCGUAAAAUCCUCACUUACUGAGUGAGGAAGGUCACUCCAGCAUUUGGUCUGCUUUGAUUUUGAAAAACUGCAUUCGUUUUCUGUAAUUCUUUCU